AGACCGAUAGCAAACAAGUACCGUGAGGGAAGAUUGAAAAGAACUUUGAAGAGAGAGUUCAAUAGUACGUGAAACUGUGUGGUGGUAAACGGAGGGGUUCUCGAAGUUUCUGUGGGGAACUCAACCUUGGUGGUUUGCAGCCCUGCUGUCUUUGAUCAGCAAUGACUUUGCAGCUUGUCUCGCUUUCCUCCCGGGUGCAUUUCCCCCGCAGUUUACGACAGGAACCGUUUGGCUCAGACCGAAGGAUUCGGGUGAAGUUGUUGGUUCUGCCUUCAGCCCCGUUCUCCUGGCUCUGAACCAGACGGGUACGUGAGAGGACUCGUAUAUCGAGCAAUGCUCUGUUGCGGUUCUCAUCUCUCUGUCGAGUAGGUCGGCGGCCCCUCCGACCCGUCUUGAAACACGGAC
This 405-nucleotide ribosomal RNA is filed under the name Rhincalanus rostrifrons. Its description in RNAcentral is "eukaryotic LSU rRNA". It matches the Rfam family "Eukaryotic large subunit ribosomal RNA", at positions 331 to 666 of the family's 3401-position model. Lineage: Eukaryota; Metazoa; Arthropoda; Copepoda; Calanoida; Eucalanidae. The record is from RNAcentral.